Molecule: long non-coding RNA, 220 nt
Filed under: Elaeis guineensis (African oil palm)
Lineage: Eukaryota; Viridiplantae; Streptophyta; Magnoliopsida; Arecales; Arecaceae
Description: long non-coding RNA (EGUI_LNC065706)
Source: RNAcentral
CCUGAUAUGUAUGUUUUUGAUCAUUUGAUUGUAAUCAUCAAGAGAUUCCUAGGAUUUUAUGUUCCGAUGCUCUUAUUUAAUUGUUAAACUUUAUCUUUAAUUAUUGAAUGCAUGUUAAAAAUUUUGAAAUCUAUAUUCCACUCCAUCAUCGAAAUCCAACAUGAGUCCCACAUGCACACUUGAUAAAGAGAAAAAUGGUAAAGGGAUAGACCAAAAGAUC